Punctularia strigosozonata HHB-11173 SS5 is the source of this 88-nucleotide transfer RNA. It matches the Rfam family "tRNA". Rfam says of the family: Transfer RNA (tRNA) molecules are approximately 80 nucleotides in length. Their secondary structure includes four short double-helical elements and three loops (D, anti-codon, and T loops). The record is from Rfam. Lineage: Eukaryota; Fungi; Basidiomycota; Agaricomycetes; Corticiales; Punctulariaceae.
GGCCAUAUAGUGUAGUGGUUUAUCACUCGGGAUUUUGACGCUUCGCCAUUGAUUUCCCGUAACCCAGGUUCGAACCCUGGUAUGGCCU